AUUGAACGCUGGCGGCAUGCCUUACACAUGCAAGUCGAACGGCAGCACGGGAGCAAUCCUGGUGGCGAGUGGCGAACGGGUGAGUAAUAUAUCGGAACGUGCCCAGUCGUGGGGGAUAACGCAGCGAAAGCUGUGCUAAUACCGCAUACGAUCUAUGGAUGAAAGCGGGGGAUCGCAAGACCUCGCGCGAUUGGAGCGGCCGAUAUCAGAUUAGCUAGUUGGUGGGGUAAAGGCCCACCAAGGCGACGAUCUGUAGCUGGUCUGAGAGGACGACCAGCCACACUGGAACUGAGACACGGUCCAGACUCCUACGGGAGGCAGCAGUGGGGAAUUUUGGACAACGGGCGCAAGCCUGAUCCAGCAAUGCCGCGUGCAGGAUGAAGGCCUUCGGGUUGUAAACUGCUUUUGUACGGAACGAAACGGUCUGCCCUAAUACGGUGGGCUAAUGACGGUACCGUAAGAAUAAGCACCGGCUAACUACGUGCCAGCCGCCGCGGUAA
This 500-nucleotide ribosomal RNA is filed under the name uncultured bacterium. RNAcentral describes it as "partial 16S ribosomal RNA". It matches the Rfam family "Bacterial small subunit ribosomal RNA", at positions 30 to 523 of the family's 1533-position model. The record is from RNAcentral.